Molecule: unclassified non-coding RNA, 1394 nt
Filed under: Hevea brasiliensis (rubber tree)
Lineage: Eukaryota; Viridiplantae; Streptophyta; Magnoliopsida; Malpighiales; Euphorbiaceae
Source: RNAcentral
AUUUUCAUUUCCAUCAACACCCUCUGCUGAAUUUACAAAUCCCACCAAAUCAUUAUUAAUGGUAGGGGAGUGCUUUGGAAAAAUUGUAACCUGCACAUUGGAAUUUCAACCCAUCGUAUGACGAUCAACGCUGCCUUUAAAGAAUUUUCUUAGUUUACAAACAAAGGCGAUAUCUUUGUCCUUCUUUGAAUUACUUUCUUUCUAAGAUACUUUCAAGAAUCUCAAGUAUAGCAUUUCUUUAUUAACACUUCAAUUGGUUUCUCUCUUUCAGGUUCCAAAAUCCUGAGAAUCAACUGGUCGUUUCAUACAUCUUCUUUGCUCUUUUCCAACUUCUACCCCAUUUUUCAUCAUCAUCAACUACUAAUCUUCAGGGAUCAAUGGAACAAAUUCUUAUAUCCCACCAUUCAAGUAGGCGAAAUUACAGGCCAAAAGGGUUGGACAAGAAAAGGGUUCUUCAGAUUAUUUUGCUUUUAGCAAUUUGCAUUUGGUUGGGACACCAAGUCAAGAACUCGCAUCACCAACAUGAGGGUUACAAUGAGAAUCCUCAAAGUCCAAGUGAAAGAAAUAUAACCAUAGUUUUGGGCCGCAGGGGGAUCGAAAAGUAUAAGAAUGGAGCUAAUGCAGAAUUUCAAGAUACAAAUGAUUCACAGGAAUAUGAAAGAAGAGACGGAGGUGUAGGAGACGAUGAGAUUGAUGGAAUUAUUAGUGCAGAUGUAGAGAAUGUACAGGAACUUGUACAAGAACAAACUAGAGCAGUAAAUGGUAGAGAUGAAGCAAUAGUCCUAGCCAAGUCUUAUAUCACAGUGGCUGCAAACCAAGACUCUGAAAUGGAGAUAGGGGAUGAUAGUGGUGAAAAUAUUCAUAGAGUUGAGGCUUUUCUUGAUGAGAAUGGGAUUCCACCAGAUGCCUCCCAUUUUAUCAAUUCUACGUCAUCUGAGCCUAGGGGAAGAGCCCAUGAAUCUUAACAGGAGUCGAGCGAUUUCAAUGAUAAUUCAUCUCAGGCUAGCAUUUCUAUUCAAUUCUUGUUUAUCGUGUCUGAUUACUAUGGUUAUGCUACCUGCCUAAUAACGUCGGCGAGUCUCGGUUUUGUGCCUCUAGGCAUCAACGAGAAGAGAAUGAUCUCUUUACCCCAAAGUCUGUAAAAAGCAUUUUUCUCAGGUCCAGGACCAGCCCAUAAAAAAUAAUUGGCUAUCAACCUGGCCGAGACAAAUUGUUUGACGAGUCUACCCAAAACUAUACAGAAGUUGCCCCACCUUCAACCGCCUACACAGCUUUGUACUGGCACCAACACAUGAUAAGAAAAUCAAAGUGCACUAUUGUUUCCAUUAAAGAAACAAAAAGAUAAAUGAACCUUAUAAAUCAUAGUAAUAUAUUUUACAUUAAGAAGUUCAGAC